Vararia minispora EC-137 is the source of this 86-nucleotide non-coding RNA. The record is from the annotation of a GenBank genome assembly. NCBI's taxonomy places the organism in Eukaryota, Fungi, Basidiomycota, Agaricomycetes, Russulales, Lachnocladiaceae.
GGACCCAUAGCUCAAAGGUAGAGCUUCAGAUUCCAGCGCAAUGCGGGGAGUCCUGAAGGUUAUCCGUUCGAUCCGGGUUGUGUUCA